RNA transcript from Cavia porcellus (domestic guinea pig), 7580 nucleotides. It is a transcript of the gene named zinc finger protein 37 homolog, with no coding region annotated. Lineage: Eukaryota; Metazoa; Chordata; Mammalia; Rodentia; Caviidae. The record is from RefSeq and is a predicted model, not a curated record. The transcript has 5 exons.
GCCGCACCCACAGGCACCGUGGGAGCCGCCAUUGCAGCUGCGGCACGACCGCGGUCGCUCUGGUGGUGGGCGCCAUAUCGGCCUCCAGUUGCAACAGGAUCCUGACAGAGCCAGCGAUUGUGGACCAGAAGUGUGGGAACGGCCAACAAGGUCGAGGCCGGGCAUCUGCCCGAGAUGGCUGCAUCUGAAUCCGAGUGCAGCGGCGCGGGAUCAGUGACGCUCAAAGAUGUGACUAUGGCCUUUACUCAGAAGGAAUGGGAGAAACUGGAUCCUGCUCAAAGGGACUUGUACAAGGAUGUGAUGCUGGAGAACUAUACCAACCUAGCCUCAACGGGGUAUCAAGCUCCCAAACCAGACAUGAUCAGCAAGUUAGAAAAAGGCGAAAAGCCAUGGUCAGGGAAGAGGAAAAGACCCAGUCAAACCCAUCCAAGUAAACUAGCAAGACCCAAGCAAACAGGAGCCAGUGGAAGAGUUCUGAAUAGGUUGAUCUGCAGGCCGGAUAAAGUGGCGCCCAGCGUGGGAGCUCCUGGCACGGAGAAGUUAACAAGGGAGCCGUUCGAGAGACAGCUAGCUUAAACUGAAAGUGAAAGCGAAUUGAACCAGAGACCUCGGCUGAGGAGUGAGCAAACUGAAUCAAGGAUUAAAGCUUAAAGCAACAGGACAUUAAAUUAAGUACCGAGACCUGCGCAGACGACUACCCGACAUCCUGCCCGACGUGAGUGAACGGCAACCCCAUUUCCCUUCCCAGACAUGGGUCAAGUAUUGAGCGAACACAAAGUGUUUGUCGGAGGUCUUAUAAAGGCAUUAAAGACAAGAGAGAUAAGGGUUGGAACAAAAGAAUUAUUGCAGUAUUUUCAAUUUAUUCAUAAGGUUUGCCCUUGGUUCCCCCUAGAGGGUUCUAUAGAUACCAAGAGGUGGAAUAGGGUAAGAGAUGCUUUAAAAGAUUAUUGUAGAGUUUUCGGUCCAGAAAAGGUUCCUGUGACCACCUUUACAUAUUGGAAUUUAAUCUCUGAGCUGCUUUCCCAGAGGCAUGCAGACCCUCAGGUUGAGGAGACAGUUACACUAGGUGAGGCUGCCUUGCGCGACUCCAUUAAAUCUACCUCAAAACCAUCCUCAGAAAAAUCUGAAGCCUCUGAUUUCUCAGAUGCAGAGAAUGAUGGCCUGUUAGAGGUCAUCGUACAUGGUGAUCUGCCACCACUUCCACCUGUUGACAUGAUCAGCAGGUCCCAGGAUGGCAGCCCGCCACUCCCUGUGCCUCCAUGGCCAAUUGGGUAUUCAUAUAAGCCUUUAGACCCCAGCCUUUCUGAUUCUCAGGAGGUCAACUGGGAACAACCAGCACAACAAGCCUCUAGAUAUCACCCUAACCCUGUUGCAGCACCAGCCACUAUUAGGCCGUCCCCUGACUAUGAUGAUGCACUCAGCAUCUGCUCUCAACCUUCUAGCACAUUAGUGGAGUUAGAGCAAAGAAAAGCAGAUCUUUUAAAACAGAUACAGCUAGAAAAAGAAUGCCAAAAUCUUUCAAUUCAAUUGCAGGCCCUCCGAGCUACACAGUUUUAUAGUGUCCCUGAGAUGGAGCCUGCCUCCAGCACACCUUGUAGUGCGCUUAAAAUGGUGCCUGCCUCUGGCAGCCAGCCUAAAAUGGCUUUCCCAGUCACAGAGGCCUUUACUCCCCCACGGGAUGUUGAAGAGGGCACUUAACCACAAGCUGUUAGGAUACGUACACCUCUCACCAUGGCAGCCUUAAAAGAGUUAAAGGCCGCAGUCUCUCAAUAUGGUCCGACUGCCGCAUACACCAUUGCAGUUCUAGAUUCUUUGACUCAGGGUUGGAUUAUUCCUAAUGAGUGGAAAGACUUAGCAAAAGCCACCCUCUCCGGAGGCAAUUAUCUAUUAUGGAGAUCUGAAUUUUUUGAUCAAUGCGAGGACAUAGCCAGAGACAACGCCACACGGCCAAACCCCUGGACCCUCGCUAUGCUUACAGGAACAGGAGAUUUUGCCACAAAAGAGACCCAAAUGCAGUUCGAUUCGGACCUCUUUGCCCAGAUUAAUAUGGCAGCCAUUAGAGCAUUGAAACGGCUCCCCUCAGGAGGUGAGCCUACUUUAUCUCUCACCCAAAUAAAACAAAAGCCUGAGGAGCCCUUGUCGGACUUUGUCGAUCGCCUCUUACAGGCGGCAGAGCGUCUUUUCGGCUCCACAAAAACAAACUCUGCCCUGAUUAAACAAUUGGCUUAUGAAAAUGCAACCUCAGAUUGUCAGGCUGCAAUUGGACCACAUCGCAAAAAAGAGGACUUCUCGGGUUAUAUACGCUUAUGUACAGAUAUUGGGCCAGUUUAUCAAGGCCUAGCCAUGGCUGCAACACAACAAGGUUGCAUAGUAACACAAUCCCUUUCUCGUUCUAAAAAAGAUGCCAUUUGUUUCAAAUGUGGCCAAAGUGGCCACACGGCUCGUGAAUGCAAAAGAAAAAAUCAAAUUCAGUCCUCUACAAAAAAACCAGGACUUACAGGUUGCCUUACAAGAGUCUGGACUUCAAAUAGCCCCUGAUAAAGUACAACUUACUGAUCCAUAUACAUACUUGGGUUUUCAAUUACGUGGCACUCAAAUACUCUCUUCAAGGCCCCAACUGAGGCUUGAUGGCCUCAGAAUACUUCAUGACUUCCAAAAACUAUUGGGAGACAUUAAUUGGCUCAUACCAUUUUUAAAACUAACAAAACGUGAUUUACAGCCCCUUUAUGCGCUGCUUCAGGGAGACAUAGAUCCAACUUCCCCCCGAGAGCUUACACCUGAUGCCAGGAGAGCGCUCAUUAAAGUAGAAGAGGCUAUUGCUCAGCAAACUGUUUCCUUUAUGGACUACAAUGAGCCUUUACGGUUUCUCAUUUUUAAUACAAAGCUUUGCCCCACAGCAGUAUUCUGGCAACAAGCUCCUCUCAUGUGGGUCCAUUUAUCAGUCUCUCCAAAAAGAACACAUUAUUGACACUUAUAGUGGCUUCAUUUUUGCCACUCUCCAGACUGGAGAAGCUGCUAGACACAUUAUAGCCCAUAUGCUGUCAGCCUUCUCAGUUCUGGGAUGUCCUCAACAGCUCAAGACCGAUAAUGGCCCUGGCUAUACCAGUACCUCCUUUGCUCAAUUUUGCAAGAGCCUUAAUAUCCUCCACACCACAGGUAUACCUUAUAAUCCUCAGGAACAAGGCAUUGUUGAACGUGCGCAUCGUUCUCUUAAAUUCACCAUAGAUAAAAUAAAAAGGGAGACAUGGUACCCCACCCAGGGGUCCCCUAGAAAUGUCCUUUCACAUGCUCUUUUUAUUUUAAAUUUUCUGACCCUGGAUGCUUCAGGCUGCUCUGCAGCAUCUCGGUUUUGGCAUACUCAGACUCAAACACGGUUUGCAUCUGUUUUAUGGAGAGACCCACUAACCAAUGUGUGGAAUGGCCCUGAUCCAGUCCUUAUCUGGGGACGAGGUUCAGUGUGUGUUUACUCUCAACAAGAUAGAGAAGCUAGAUGGCUACCUGAACGCCUCGUAAAGCAAGUAGACAGUUCUUCAAAGACCCCAUGUAACGCCCAGGAAUAAUGUUAUUUCCUGAGGCACAAUCCCCUGUGUUCUCUUACAGGUGACACAUCUCCCUGGAGCCUUAUGCUGCCUAGUCAGCCUUCUAGAGCCACACCACACCCAUGGUGAAUUUCAACUCCUGCCAAACAGACUACAACUGCUGACAGCCAUGCACAGAACCCCAUGACUGCAGAAGAGGCGCUUCUCAGUCUGGAGGAACAUACACCAGCCAAAUAGACUGCAUCCAGUGUUAUGCAAGGCAUCCUCCAAGAUGUAGGAGAAUGACUUCAUACAGAGACACCAACAAAUGGCUGUCAACUCCUUCUCCUUGAUUUGGGGGGGGGGAGUUUUUCCCUUACUAGCGCCCCUUUUGGGUCCCCUAGCUGACCUAUUGUUUCUCAUUUCUGUGAGUUCUUGUAUUUUUCAGAGGAUUAUGAUGUUCAUUAAUAACCGGAUAGACGCAUUUAUGGCAAAGCCCAUUCAGGUACACUAUCAUCAGCUGGAGAUGGCAGAUCAACAAACCUACUGGGAAGGAAUUCCCACAAGUGGCCCAUAUGAUGAUGCGGCCUAACUCCCUGGAGCAAUGGACAGGCAUUCAGAGACGGGCAACUAGGACAUGCAUGUUAAUUCCAACGGCCACCUAAGACAGGCACAGGACCAACUGCUGUUAUGCAAGCCCAUGACGGAAGUUCAUCAAGAUGACCAGCUAAAGAAUAAUGAGAAAUCUCAAGACAAACACAUUAGGGAAUGUGCAUUCCAGAAAACUCCAACUAAGAAGAAAGGCGGUGAGUGUAUUUCAUUGGAGAAAAAAAAUGUGAGUACAAAACUUAGUCCUUCACAGAAAAAGUUUAAAUUUGAUUCACAUGGAAAGGAUUUGAAACAGAAUGUAGACUCACUUGGUCAUGUAAAAAACUCUGCAAGAAACAAACCUGAUAUUGCUAAAGAACACAAGAAGGCAUUAAAGCAUAGCUUAUCUGAUACAAAGAAAGACAAAAAUCAAACUGGAAAGAAACUUGAUAAAUUAUCCAACCAUACUUCUGAUAAGUGUGACAAAACUCAAACUGGCAAGAAACAAAAGAAAUUAUAUGAUCAUCAUUCAUCCUGUACUAAGAAAGACAAAAUCCAAAUGGGAGAGAAACAUGAGACAUCAUCUACUAAGACUGAAAAAACUUAAGCUUCUGUGAAACCCUAUGAGUGUGAUCAAUGUGGCAAGGUUCUCAGCCAUAAACAAGGACUUAUUGACCACCACAGAACACAUACAGGAGAGAAACCCUAUGAAUGCAAUGAAUGUGGAAUUGCCUUUAGCCAGAAGUCUCACCUUGUUGUACAUCAGAGAACUCACACUGGAGAAAAGCCAUAUGAAUGUGUUCAAUGUGGCAAAGCCCAUGGUCAUAAACAUGCCCUUACUGACCACCUAAGAAUUCAUACUGGGGAAAAGCCCUAUGAAUGUACUGAAUGUGGAAAAACUUUUAGACACAGCUCAAACCUUAUCCAACAUGUGAGAUCUCAUACAGGUGAAAAGCCUUAUGAAUGUAAGGAAUGUGGAAAAUCUUUUAGGUAUAACUCAUCUCUUACUGAACAUGUGAGAACUCAUACAGGUGAAAUACCAUAUGAAUGUAAUGAAUGUGGCAAAGGUUUUAAGUAUAGUUCAUCCCUGACAAAACAUAUGCGAAUUCAUACAGGUGAGAAACCUUUCGAAUGUGAUGAGUGUGGGAAAACAUUCAGCAAAAAGUCACACCUCAUUAUACAUCAAAGAACUCAUACAAAAGAGAAACCUUAUAAAUGUGAUGAAUGUGGAAAAGCCUUUGGACAUAGCUCAUCUCUUACUUACCAUAUGAGAACCCAUACUGGUGAAAAUCCCUUCGAAUGUAAUCAGUGUGGGAAGGCCUUUAAACAAAUUGAAGGUCUUACUCAACAUCAGAGAGUUCAUACCGGGGAGAAACCAUAUGAAUGUAAUGAAUGUGGGAAAGCUUUUAGCCAAAAGUCACAUCUCAUUGUACAUGAAAGAACUCACACAGGUGAGAAACCGUAUGAAUGCAAUGAAUGUGGAAAAACUUUCAAUGCAAUGUCACAACUCGUUAUACAUCAGAGAUCCCACACAGGAGAGAAACCCUAUGAAUGUAAUGAAUGUGGGAAAACCUUCAAACAAAAUGCAUCACUUAUCAAGCACAUGAAAACUCAUUGAAAAAACUCAUGAAUGAAAUCAGUUGUGGAAAUCUGAUAAUGGAAAACUGUUGUGUUUAAUGUUAGAAACAUGUAUUGUAAACUUAAAGAAUAUUAGGAAACCUGUAACAAGUUUUACUUCAUGGUGAGAAGUCACACCAUGUUAUACAUUUGAAAUUGAAAGUGGACUUUCAUAUAGAAGCAGUGGAUAGAAAUAAGAAAUGUAAUGUGGGACCAAAUACUUUACAGAAAAAUUUUCAAAAAGUAGAUCUUAACUAUAUAGUCAGGCUGGCCUUAAAGUCGCUGUGUAGCACAUGCUGACUUUGAAUUUGUGGUAAUCCUCCUGCCUCAGUUUCCUGAGUGCUAGAAGUACAGACAUGUGCCUCCACACCCAGCGAAAAUAUUCCUUGAAAAAAAUUAUAAGUGAUCUACAUGUUUAGGUUGAAAUACAAAGCUUUAAAUGUUGAGUAAUCAAUACAAUAAUGAAGCAAUUUGUAUCUACUAGCAAUUUGGGUUGCUUAGGUCUUGUGUCCUUCAGCACCACAUUAGAAUUGAAUUUUCAUAUUUGUAUAUUGCUUUGUAUGAAAAGGGUGGUCAUUUGUAUAAGCCUCUUUUAUAUUGUAUCCAUAUUUUUUUAAAUUAAUGUCUAAAUUGGAUUCUACAUAGCAGCAAAUAGUUUGUAUUAAUGUAAAAGUAAACAGAAAAUUAAGAAAAAGUAAAUAAAAAAACAGCUAAAGAUGCAAAUGUACUGGUAGUGAGUGUUUAAAAAUGGAUUACUGAACCAUGUAUGCAUUAUGUUCCUAUUUUUGGCUGAAAGGACAUAUUUUUACCUGUCUCUUUGCACAUGUGUGUAUAUAUGUAUGUAUGUAUAAAUAUAUUUGUAUAUGAAUAGAUUUUGUUUAAAAAGUCCAGAACAAACUUAAACAGGCACAGGAGUAUGGAAGUAUUGUCUGGGUUGGGAAUGAGACCUCUUUUUUUAGUAUAUUGUUUAAAUAUUUAUCAUAUAUGUGUAUUUAUUUUCACAAUUAAAAUAUUUUAAUAUGCAUAAAUCAACACUUUAAGAAUAUCACUGAGCCAACUUUAUAAUGUCUGACAGAUUACAAAAGUUUCUGUGCUUUUUCAUGAAUGAUCAUGAAUCUGAACUAUAUGGUAUUGAGCUUGUUGAAUUCACAAAAGACUUGUCAAACACAAGCCCAUUUAUUAACAUAAUUUUUAAAAACGUUUUCUUAUUUUGAAGGUAAUAAAAUACAACAGAACAAGACAGAACAAAGCCAAUUGAGACAGUGCAGUGAAAUUGGUACAGAACUUCACAGUAGGUUACCGGGAUAACACUAAUAGGUAUCACAAGUAUAUCUCGUUAUCUUCACAAUAGUUGUUCUUUCAAUCAGGUAUAUCAAAAUAAAAUGAAAUACAGAACAUUAUAGAACUUAUCAAAACAGAGUAUUGAAUAGAGCAAUACCAUUAAACAGAAUAAAGCAAAGAAAAUGAUAAAAAUAUUUGCUUUCAAAGAGAUGGUAGAAGGGAAUCCCACUUAUUUGGUAUACUGCCUAUGGUCAAACUCCCAAGAGAUGCUCAGAUCUCUGGCUCCCAUUUGCUAACAGGGGAGGAGGAGAGGUGGGAUGUUUGAUUCUCAGCCCGUGUGCAGUAGGCUCACUACUGCUUAGCAGAGGGGUGAGCUGGUUGCUUGAUUUUCCAGUGUCCUAAGUUCCAACAUGAGGAGGAUCUCAGGAGUUGCUGGUGGUUCUUGCCCUGGGACAGCUGCAGUCUGCCACACCACAGCUGCUAACCAGGGAGGCAAGCUGGUUCUACAAUUACAUAUGUAACAGAAAUGUGUUUCUUCUGUAUGCUAUUUUAUUAAAAACUGAAAAUGAAUUGUGA